GUAGGUGGCAAGCGUUGUCCGGAAUUAUUGGGCGCAAAGCGCGCGCGGGCGGUUCUUUAAGUCUGAUGUGAAAGCCCACGGCUCAACCGUGGAGGGUCAUUGGAAACUGGAGAACUUGAGUACAGAAGAGGAAAGCGGAAUUCCACGUGUAGCGGUGAAAUGCGUAGAGAUGUGGAGGAACACCAGUGGCGAAGGCGGCUUUCUGGUCUGUAACUGACGCUGAGGCGCGAAAGCGUGGGGAGCAAACAGGAUUAGAUACCCUGGUAGUCCACGCCGUAAACGAUGAGUGCUAAGUGUUAGGGGGUUUCCGCCCCCCUUAGUGCUGCAGCUAACGCAUUAAGCACUCCGCCUGGGAGUACGGCCGCAAGGCUG
This 372-nucleotide ribosomal RNA is filed under the name uncultured organism. RNAcentral's name for it is "partial 16S ribosomal RNA". It matches the Rfam family "Bacterial small subunit ribosomal RNA", at positions 527 to 896 of the family's 1533-position model. The record is from RNAcentral.